CAUAAUAAAUAUACAUGAAGCAUCUACUAUUCAAAUUCUUCAAAAUUUGUUAUAUAUUGUUCAUUUGAUAUAAGUUAUUGAAGUCAAUUUGUACCUGAUGAGAUGAUUAGCAUACAAUUUCAGAGUAGUAACAACUUACAAUCUGUUGCAGAGACUGAAUCGAGUUAAGACAAUCAGAGACAACACACAUUCACAUUAGGAUACCAGAAUUAUUACAUGGAUUUAAUCUUCUCUAAAUAUUGUAGCGAGUUCAACGGACACAUUCACAAUUUAAAAACAAAUUAAAC
RNAcentral lists this long non-coding RNA (287 nucleotides) under Brassica napus (rape). RNAcentral's name for it is "long non-coding RNA (BNAP_LNC011479)". Lineage: Eukaryota; Viridiplantae; Streptophyta; Magnoliopsida; Brassicales; Brassicaceae. The record is from RNAcentral.